UUUUGUGCGUUGACAAGGCUUUGGAAUUCUUGACUGGAAGCCAGCAGCUGAUCGUAAGUGUUUGCUUGUAUGAUUUCUCCAGCAAACAUUAACAAAAUAGAAUUAAAAGCAGGAAGGAACUCGACUUGGUGGGUCACGAGUAACACUGUCUUCAUAGACAAAGCUCCUAAGACAUAUUCCUGCAACAGUCCAACUUCCAGUCAUUAGGACAAUCACGUCCUUGA
RNAcentral lists this unclassified non-coding RNA (224 nucleotides) under Hevea brasiliensis (rubber tree). The record is from RNAcentral. Lineage: Eukaryota; Viridiplantae; Streptophyta; Magnoliopsida; Malpighiales; Euphorbiaceae.